This 429-nucleotide ribosomal RNA is filed under the name Bacteroidota bacterium. RNAcentral's name for it is "Bacteroidetes bacterium partial 16S ribosomal RNA". It matches the Rfam family "Bacterial small subunit ribosomal RNA", at positions 355 to 776 of the family's 1533-position model. Lineage: Bacteria; Pseudomonadati; Bacteroidota. The record is from RNAcentral.
UAGGGAAUCUUCCGCAAUGGACGCAAGUCUGACGGAGCAACGCCGCGUGAGUGAAGAAGGAUUUCGGUUCGUAAAACUCUGUUGUUAGAGAAGAACAGCGCAUAGAGUAACUGUUAUGCGUGUGACGGUAUCUAACCAGAAAGCCACGGCUAACUACGUGCCGGCAGCCGCGGUAAUACGUAGGUGGCAAGCGUUGUCCGGAUUUAUUGGGCGUAAAGCGAGCGCAGGCGGUCAAUUAAGUCUGAUGUGAAAGCCCCCGGCUCAACCGGGGAGGGUCAUUGGAAACUGGUUGACUUGAGUGCAGAAGAGGAGAGUGGAAUUCCAUGUGUAGCGGUGAAAUGCGUAGAUAUAUGGAGGAACACCAGUGGCGAAGGCGACUCUCUGGUCUGUAACUGACGCUGAGGUUCGAAAGCGUGGGUAGCAAACAGG